This 492-nucleotide ribosomal RNA is filed under the name uncultured bacterium. Its description in RNAcentral is "partial 16S ribosomal RNA". It matches the Rfam family "Bacterial small subunit ribosomal RNA", at positions 29 to 507 of the family's 1533-position model. The record is from RNAcentral.
AGUGAACGCUGGCGGUAGGCCUAACACAUGCAAGUCGAACGGCAGCACAGUAAGAGCUUGCUCUUACGGGUGGCGAGUGGCGGACGGGUGAGGAAUACAUCGGAAUCUACUUUUUCGUGGGGUAUAACGUAGGGAAACUUACGCUAAUACCGCAUACGACCUACUGGUGAAAGCAGGGGAUCUUCGGACCUUGCGCGAUUGAAUGAGCCGAUGUCGGAUUAGCUAGUUGGCGGGGUAAAGGCCCACCAAGGCGACGAUCCGUAGCUGGUCUGAGAGGAUGAUCAGCCACACUGGAACUGAGACACGGUCCAGACUCCUACGGGAGGCAGCAGUGGGGAAUAUUGGACAAUGGGCGCAAGCCUGAUCCAGCCAUACCGCGUGGGUGAAGAAGGCCUUCGGGUUGUAAAGCCCUUUUGUUGGGAAAGAAAAGCAGCAGGUUAAUACCCCGCUGUUCUGACGGUACCCAAAGAAUAAGCACCGGCUAACUUCGUG